GAUGAACGCUAGCGGCAGGCCUAACACAUGCAAGUCGAACGGUAACAUAGAGAAGCUUGCUUUUCUGAUGACGAGUGGCGCACGGGUGCGUAACGCGUAUACAAUCUACCUUUUACAGGGGGAUAGCCUUUAGAAAUGAAGAAUAAUACCCCAUAGUAAGUUGAUGUGGCAUCACAAUAACUUUAAAGAUUCGUCGGUAAAAGAUGAGUAUGCGUCCUAUUAGCUAGAUGGUGUGGUAACGGCACACCAUGGCAACGAUAGGUAGGGGCCCUGAGAGGGGGAUCCCCCACACUGGUACUGAGACACGGACCAG
RNAcentral lists this ribosomal RNA (313 nucleotides) under uncultured Winogradskyella sp. RNAcentral describes it as "bacterial SSU rRNA". It matches the Rfam family "Bacterial small subunit ribosomal RNA", at positions 28 to 334 of the family's 1533-position model. Lineage: Bacteria; Pseudomonadati; Bacteroidota; Flavobacteriia; Flavobacteriales; Flavobacteriaceae. The record is from RNAcentral.